CAUACCGCUGCGGGAGAGUCCUUCCGAUCGAUGGUUGGCGCCGUAGGAGCAAACCCUCUCCGGGAAUCUCUCAGGCACCAGUACCGCAGCGGAUAG
Molecule: non-coding RNA, 96 nt
Organism: Leifsonia rubra CMS 76R
Lineage: Bacteria; Bacillati; Actinomycetota; Actinomycetes; Micrococcales; Microbacteriaceae
Source: Rfam